This 273-nucleotide ribosomal RNA is filed under the name uncultured Bradyrhizobium sp. RNAcentral's name for it is "partial 16S ribosomal RNA". It matches the Rfam family "Bacterial small subunit ribosomal RNA", at positions 524 to 796 of the family's 1533-position model. The record is from RNAcentral. Lineage: Bacteria; Pseudomonadati; Pseudomonadota; Alphaproteobacteria; Hyphomicrobiales; Nitrobacteraceae.
UACGUAGGGGGCUAGCGUUGCUCGGAAUCACUGGGCGUAAAGGGUGUGUAGGCGGGGCUUUAAGUCAGGGGUGAAAUCCUGGAGCUCAACUCCAGAACUGCCCUUGAUACUGAGGAUCUUGAGUUCGGGAGAGGUGAGUGGAACUGCGAGUGUAGAGGUGAAAUUCGUAGAUAUUCGCAAGAACACCAGUGGCGAAGGCGGCUCACUGGCCCGAUACUGACGCUGAGGCACGAAAGCGUGGGGAGCAAACAGGAUUAGAAACCCUUGUAGUCC